Molecule: ribosomal RNA, 449 nt
Filed under: uncultured bacterium
Lineage: Bacteria
Description: bacterial SSU rRNA
Rfam family: Bacterial small subunit ribosomal RNA
Source: RNAcentral
ACAGUGGGGAAUUUUGGACAAUGGGCGAAAGCCUGAUCCAGCAAUGCCGCGUGCAGGAUGAAGGCCUUCGGGUUGUAAACUGCUUUUGUACGGAACGAAAAGCUUUGGGUUAAUACCCUGGAGUCAUGACGGUACCGUAAGAAUAAGCACCGGCUAACUACGUGCCAGCAGCCGCGGUAAUACGUAGGGUGCAAGCGUUAAUCGGAAUUACUGGGCGUAAAGCGUGCGCAGGCGGUUUUGUAAGACAGAGGUGAAAUCCCCGGGCUCAACCUGGGAACUGCCUUUGUGACUGCAAGGCUAGAGUACGGCAGAGGGGGGUGGAAUUCCGCGUGUAGCAGUGAAAUGCGUAGAUAUGCGGAGGAACACCGAUGGCGAAGGCAACCCCCUGGGCCUGUACUGACGCUCAUGCACGAAAGCGUGGGGAGCAAACAGGAUUAGAUACCCUGGUA